RNAcentral lists this ribosomal RNA (237 nucleotides) under uncultured bacterium. Its description in RNAcentral is "partial 16S ribosomal RNA". It matches the Rfam family "Bacterial small subunit ribosomal RNA", at positions 102 to 339 of the family's 1533-position model. The record is from RNAcentral.
ACGGGUGAGUAACGCGUGAGUAAUCUGCCUCAUACAGGAGAAUAACACUAAGAAAUUGGUGCUAAUACUCCAUAAGCUCACAUUAUGACAUCAUAGAGUGAGAAAAGAUUUAUCGGUAUGAGAGGAGCUCGCGUCUGAUUAGCUAGUUGGUGGGGUAACGGCCUACCAAGGCGACGAUCAGUAGCCGACCUGAGAGGGUGAUCGGCCACAUUGGAACUGAGACACGGUCCAAACUCC